UACGAAGGUGGCAAGCGUUGUUCGGAAUCAUUGGGCGUAAAGAGCACGUAGGCGGGUUUGUAAGUCGACUGUGAAAGCCCUGGGCUUAACCUGGGAAUGGCAGCCGAAACUGCAGAUCUUGAAUGCUCGAGAGGAUGGUGGAAUUCCUGGUGUAGAGGUGAAAUUCGUAGAUAUCAGGAGGAACACCGGAGGCGAAGGCGACCGUCUGGCGAGACAUUGACGCUGAGGUGCGAAAGCAUGGGGAUCAAACAGG
RNAcentral lists this ribosomal RNA (253 nucleotides) under uncultured bacterium. RNAcentral describes it as "partial 16S ribosomal RNA". It matches the Rfam family "Bacterial small subunit ribosomal RNA", at positions 524 to 776 of the family's 1533-position model. The record is from RNAcentral.